GUUGACAUACGAAGGUUGUAAGAUGAUAAUUUUUACAUCUAAUCGUUUAAUCGACUGGCUCGGUUCGUAGCAUUGCAAAUCAUCUUUAUCAAAUGUAUGCAAUUAACUCAUAUGCAUUAAAUAAUGUGUUUCUGGCCGACGUCAGUGAGAUUCUUGUUAUUAUGCAUGGCUGAUUAUGGCCAAUUGGAACACAACAGCAAGUAAAAUGGUACGCCUUGUCUUGGACAGUGGUUAAUUUCAAUGCGUUCCUACAUUAUAAACUGGAUCAUUAAAUAUUUAAAGUUC
Molecule: long non-coding RNA, 285 nt
Organism: Dendroctonus ponderosae (mountain pine beetle)
Lineage: Eukaryota; Metazoa; Arthropoda; Insecta; Coleoptera; Curculionidae
Exons: 2
Source: RefSeq, a predicted model, not a curated record